UGUCGCCGCUUACACGUGGGGGAAGGCCCUCACCGUUUUGGGACUGGAAAUACCAAAGCUGGACGAGACUGAGGCGGUUGAGAACCACAAUUACUACCUGGAUGAAUGUGAAAAUCUGUUAGAUGAACUUUUGAUGAAGAUUAAUUGUUUGGCCGACAGCCUACAACUCCCUCUUCUGGAAAAACAAUCCAACGGUAUAAGGGAGGCAAGGGCAGAAGAUAGCCCCUAGGUGGGCAUUUCUAGUUAUCACGCUGCUGAGAGAAGAGAAUGGCCCUAAUCAGAAAUGUGCAAUUCAAGAAGAGCUGUUUCUGGACACCUCAUUUCUCCAACCCAGCCCAUGGUUUUUCCUCAUCCCCAGGUAGCUUUUACGGGUGAGAUCUGUAAAGCAUGAAGGCAUCUGAGCUCCCGCAGGGGAUGGACAUCCUGAAUCACUCUGCGUCCUACCCAGUGAGAGUCCAGCCUCGCCUGUGGGCCCCGCACCGUCUGUUCCCACUUACUGCUGUGCCCAGACCAGCACAGGGCUAGAGGGAAGAGGCUGCGUCAUUUUAGACUCUAGAGGUGGAGUCGUUCUUGGAGGCAGAAACACUCUGGGCUAUUUGGGAUCAGAGUAGUAUGUUUUUAUCAACCAAAUAUCUCCAUAGAGAACAGCAGCGGAACGAUUAGAGAAUCUGGCCGAGACACAGUGACUUGGGAGCUCUGGCCGAAUUAUAAGCCAGUUUCAUUGACGUGCCAGUUGAGCUAGCUGAUAAUUUGCCCCUGCGAAAACAACACACUUAGCCAUGAAAGUCUCGCCAGUAUUUUGCACAGCAUCAUGUCCCAGACAGAAGUUGACUAAGGAAACUGAGUCUGCCAGUGAGUAUAGAGAAUCGAGCUGUCCACAGGCACUACCUUGAUAAUUUGAUCUCUGGCCUCGGGUGACGGGGCCUGCUUGAUGGAACACGUAGCCAUCUGACCUGUCGGGAAAGCAUCUGUCAGCUGUGUCUAAUUUCUUCCACUUCUGGAUCGAUACUUGCUGCCUUUGCCUUUAAAAAUAAGUGGAAAUGUUUGUGGUGCUGGGCAGGGGACAAUGGUGUAUUUUUGGUAUUCUUUAGAGCAGGUAAGUUACUUGAGUGAAGACUAGGAAAAAAUAUAUUAUCAAAGGUCUGAGAU
Molecule: non-coding RNA, 1149 nt
Organism: Microcebus murinus (gray mouse lemur)
Lineage: Eukaryota; Metazoa; Chordata; Mammalia; Primates; Cheirogaleidae
Source: RefSeq, a predicted model, not a curated record